AGCUCUAGCUCUUGCUCCUUCGCCUACUUGCUGCGUGAGACUGAGUAGCUGCUAGAUCCUUGGACUUCCAUUCACAGCUGCGACUGAACAAUUGUUGGGAAUUGGGCUGCCGACUAAUCCCUGAAAUUUAUCAGAAUCAGUGUUUCUGGAGAGCUUGUGAUGAAAAACACUGAUGUGAUUCCUGUCCUAAGACAAUACCACUGGGUGCUGAUCAGGAAUCAUGAAAAUAUAGUGAUGUCUGCCAACAUGCACAAGAGUGAACAUUAGAAGUAGCUGAGGACAAACGCCCUCCCAAGGAUGGAAGACCCCAAAUCCUUGAUUGGAAAGAAUAUUUUAUAAUUAAGCCUAUAUCUUAAAAGAAUUUAUUUGAAGACAACUUCUUG
RNAcentral lists this long non-coding RNA (383 nucleotides) under Mus musculus (house mouse). RNAcentral's name for it is "predicted gene, 44072". Lineage: Eukaryota; Metazoa; Chordata; Mammalia; Rodentia; Muridae. The record is from RNAcentral.